Molecule: ribosomal RNA, 194 nt
Filed under: Tylosurus crocodilus crocodilus (hound needlefish)
Lineage: Eukaryota; Metazoa; Chordata; Actinopteri; Beloniformes; Belonidae
Description: partial large subunit ribosomal RNA
Source: RNAcentral
AUGAAGACCUGUAUGAAUGGCAUAACGAGGGCUUAACUGUCUCCUUUUUCCAGUCAAUGAAAUUGAUCCCUCCGUGCAGAAGCGGAGAUAAACACAUAAGACGAGAAGACCCUAUGGAGCUUCAGACAACAUGUGGACCAUGUUAAUAAACCUUACUCAACAAGAACAAACCAAUUGGGACCCACCUUAGUGUC